This 376-nucleotide ribosomal RNA is filed under the name uncultured bacterium. RNAcentral's name for it is "bacterial SSU rRNA". It matches the Rfam family "Bacterial small subunit ribosomal RNA", at positions 28 to 404 of the family's 1533-position model. The record is from RNAcentral.
GACGAACGCUGGCGGCGUGCUUAACACAUGCAAGUCGAGCGGUAAGGCCCUUUCGGGGGUACGACGAGCGGCGAACGGGUGAGUAACACGUGGGUGACCUGCCCUCAGUUCUGGGAUAAGCCUGGGAAACUGGGUCUAAUACCGGAUAUGACUCCAUGACGCAUGUUGUGGGGUGGAAAGCCUUGUGCGGCUGAGGAUGGGCCCGCGGCCUAUCAGCUUGUUGGUGGGGUGAUGGCCUACCAAGGCGACGACGGGUAGCCGGCCUGAGAGGGCGACCGGCCACACUGGGACUGAGACACGGCCCAGACUCCUACGGGAGGCAGCAGUGGGGAAUCUUGCGCAAUGGGCGAAAGCCUGACGCAGCGACGCCGCGUGA